UUCACUCGGGUUGCUGCCAAAAUUCUC
RNAcentral lists this small RNA (27 nucleotides) under Bombyx mori (domestic silkworm). Its description in RNAcentral is "ovarian small RNA-37011". The record is from RNAcentral. Lineage: Eukaryota; Metazoa; Arthropoda; Insecta; Lepidoptera; Bombycidae.